Molecule: ribosomal RNA, 130 nt
Filed under: Cenchrus echinatus
Lineage: Eukaryota; Viridiplantae; Streptophyta; Magnoliopsida; Poales; Poaceae
Description: partial 18S ribosomal RNA
Rfam family: Eukaryotic small subunit ribosomal RNA
Source: RNAcentral
GUGUUCGGAUCGCGGCGACGAAGGCGGUUCGCCGCCCCCGACGUCGCGAGAAGUCCAUUGAACCUUAUCAUUUAGAGGAAGGAGAAGUCGUAACAAGGUUUCCGUAGGUGAACCUGCGGAAGGAUCAUUG